Hippoglossus stenolepis (Pacific halibut) is the source of this 104-nucleotide small nuclear RNA. The record is from RefSeq and is a predicted model, not a curated record. Lineage: Eukaryota; Metazoa; Chordata; Actinopteri; Pleuronectiformes; Pleuronectidae.
ACUUUAGCCCGGCCAGUACCUAAUAAAUUGGAUACGAUACAGAGAAGAUUAGCAUGGCCCCUGCGAAAGGAUGACACAUGGUCAUUGAGCGUUUCCAUAUUUUG